UUAAUUACCUGGCAGGGGAGAUACCAUGAUCACGAAGGUGGUUUUCCCAGGGUGAGGCUCAUCCAUUGCACUGCGGGUGUGCUGACCACUGAGAUUUCCCCAAAUGUGGGAAACUCAACUGCAUAAAAUAA
This 131-nucleotide small nuclear RNA is filed under the name Gopherus agassizii (Agassiz's desert tortoise). RNAcentral's name for it is "U1 spliceosomal RNA (ENSGAGG00000011845.1)". It matches the Rfam family "U1 spliceosomal RNA". From Rfam's summary of the family: U1 is a small nuclear RNA (snRNA) component of the spliceosome (involved in pre-mRNA splicing). Lineage: Eukaryota; Metazoa; Chordata; Testudines; Testudinidae. The record is from RNAcentral.